RNAcentral lists this ribosomal RNA (393 nucleotides) under Salmonella enterica subsp. enterica serovar Agona. RNAcentral describes it as "partial 23S ribosomal RNA". It matches the Rfam family "Bacterial large subunit ribosomal RNA", at positions 161 to 590 of the family's 2925-position model. Lineage: Bacteria; Pseudomonadati; Pseudomonadota; Gammaproteobacteria; Enterobacterales; Enterobacteriaceae. RNAcentral also lists the same sequence under 3 other names. The record is from RNAcentral.
AAUCCAUAGGUUAAUGAGGCGAACCGGGGGAACUGAAACAUCUAAGUACCCCGAGGAAAAGAAAUCAACCGAGAUUCCCCCAGUAGCGGCGAGCGAACGGGGAGGAGCCCAGAGCCUGAAUCAGCAUGUGUGUUAGUGGAAGCGUCUGGAAAGGCGCGCGAUACAGGGUGACAGCCCCGUACACAAAAGCGCAUGUGCUGUGAGCUCGAUGAGUAGGGCGGGACACGUGGUAUCCUGUCUGAAUAUGGGGGGACCAUCCUCCAAGGCUAAAUACUCCUGACUGACCGAUAGUGAACCAGUACCGUGAGGGAAAGGCGAAAAGAACCCCGGCGAGGGGAGUGAAAAAGAACCUGAAACCGUGUACGUACAAGCAGUGGGAGCACAGGUUUACCU